UAAGGAAUAUUGGACAAUGGACGCAAGUCUGAUCCAGCCAUGCCGCGUGAAGGAUGAAUGCCCUCUGGGUUGUAAACUUCUUUUAUAGGGGAAGAAAGAUACUUUUUUUAAGGUAGUUGACGGUACCCUAUGAAUAAGCACCGGCUAACUCCGUGCCAGCAGCCGCGGUAAUACGGAGGGUGCAAGCGUUAUCCGGAUUUACUGGGUUUAAAGGGUGCGUAGGCGGGCAUGUAAGUCAGUGGUGAAAUACCGGAGCUUAACUUCGGAACUGCCAUUGAUACUAUAUGUCUUGAAUAUUGUAGAGGUUAGCGGAAUAUGUCAUGUAGCGGUGAAAUGCAUAGAUAUGACAUAGAACACCGAUUGCGGAGGCAGCUUGCUACGCAAAUAUUGACGCUGAGGCACGAAAGCGUGGGGAUCAAACA
This 422-nucleotide ribosomal RNA is filed under the name uncultured bacterium. Its description in RNAcentral is "bacterial SSU rRNA". It matches the Rfam family "Bacterial small subunit ribosomal RNA", at positions 355 to 774 of the family's 1533-position model. The record is from RNAcentral.